GAAUUCGCCCUUAGAGUUUGAUCCUGGCUCAGAACGAACGCUGGCGGCAGGCCUAACACAUGCAAGUCGAGCGCACCCUUCGGGGCGAGCGGCGGACGGGUUAGUAACGCGUGGGAACGUACCCUUUUCUACGGAAUAGCCUUUGGAAACGAAGAGUAAUACCGUAUACGCCCUUCGGGGGAAAGAUUUAUCGGAGAAGGAUCGGCCCGCGUUAGAUUAGAUAGUUGGUGGGGUAACGGCCUACCAAGUCUACGAUCUAUAGCUGGUUUUAGAGGAUGAUCAGCAACACUGGGACUGAGACACGGCCCAGACUCCUACGGGAGGCAGCAGUGGGGAAUCUUAGACAAUGGGCGNAGCCUGAUCUAGCCNUGCCGCGUGAGUGAUGAAGGCCUUAGGGUCGUAAAGCUCUUUCGCCAGAGAUGAUAAUGACNGUAUCUGGUAAAGAAACCCCGGCUAACUCCGUGCCAGCAGCCGCGGUAAUAAGGGCG
RNAcentral lists this ribosomal RNA (488 nucleotides) under uncultured Alphaproteobacteria bacterium. RNAcentral's name for it is "bacterial SSU rRNA". It matches the Rfam family "Bacterial small subunit ribosomal RNA", at positions 1 to 531 of the family's 1533-position model. Lineage: Bacteria; Pseudomonadati; Pseudomonadota; Alphaproteobacteria. The record is from RNAcentral.